GCUGGUGCAUAUAAAUCAUAUGUACCGAGCUUGUUACAUAUGUAGUUUAACAUCGAACCCAGGUUUCUAGACCCAAAAGCAUCGAUUCCCAAAGACAUCGUUGAAAAUUUGCUAAAACAGAUGAAGGAAAACUUUUUUUUUUUUUUUUUUUUGUUUUUUUGGCCGGAAAAUCACUGUAGAUGCCGGAAAAACUUCAAAGUUGUCGGAAUUGAAAAGUAAAAAUAUGAGUAGGCUCGGAAUUUUAGGGCGAUGAUACUGUCCUGAAGAAACUUUUUGAAAUUCUGGCCGGAAAGUCUCUGUAGCUGCCGGAAAAGUCGCCGGAAAAACUGAAAGUUGUCGGAANNNN
RNAcentral lists this long non-coding RNA (346 nucleotides) under Nicotiana benthamiana. RNAcentral's name for it is "long non-coding RNA (NBEN_LNC005028)". Lineage: Eukaryota; Viridiplantae; Streptophyta; Magnoliopsida; Solanales; Solanaceae. The record is from RNAcentral.